This 497-nucleotide ribosomal RNA is filed under the name uncultured bacterium. RNAcentral's name for it is "partial 16S ribosomal RNA". It matches the Rfam family "Bacterial small subunit ribosomal RNA", at positions 28 to 507 of the family's 1533-position model. The record is from RNAcentral.
GAUGAACGCUGGCGGCGUGCCUAAUACAUGCAAGUCGAGCGAACAGACGAGGAGCUUGCUCCUCUGACGUUAGCGGCGGACGGGUGAGUAACACGUGGAUAACCUACCUAUAAGACUGGGAUAACUUCGGGAAACCGGAGCUAAUACCGGAUAAUAUAUUGAACCGCAUGGUUCAAUAGUGAAAGACGGUUUUGCUGUCACUUAUAGAUGGAUCCGCGCUGCAUUAGCUAGUUGGUAAGGUAACGGCUUACCAAGGCAACGAGGCGUAGCCGACCUGAGAGGGUGAUCGGCCACACGGGAACUGAGACGCGGUCCAGGCUCCUACGGGAGGCAGCAGUAGGGAAUCUUCCGCAAUGGGCGAGAGCCUGACGGAGCAACGGCGCGUGAGUGAUGAAGGUCUUGGGAUCGUAAAACUCUGUUAUGAGGGAAGAACAAAUGUGUAAGUAACUAUGCACGUCUUGACGGUACCGAAUCAGAAAGCAACGGCUAACUACGUG